CCUACGGGAGGCAGCAGUAAGGAAUAUUGGUCAAUGGACGCAAGUCUGAACCAGCCAUGCCGCGUGAAGGAUGAAGGUCCUCUGGAUUGUAAACUUCUUUUAUUUGGGAAGAAAUGCAUUUUUUCUAAAGUGCUUGACGGUACCAGAUGAAUAAGCACCGGCUAACUCCGUGCCAGCAGCCGCGGUAAU
This 189-nucleotide ribosomal RNA is filed under the name uncultured Chitinophaga sp. RNAcentral describes it as "partial 16S ribosomal RNA". It matches the Rfam family "Bacterial small subunit ribosomal RNA", at positions 338 to 524 of the family's 1533-position model. Lineage: Bacteria; Pseudomonadati; Bacteroidota; Chitinophagia; Chitinophagales; Chitinophagaceae. The record is from RNAcentral.